GAUGAACGCUGGCGGUAUGCCUAACACAUGCAAGUCGUACGAGAGUUUUUAACUCUAGUGGCGGACGGGUGAGUAACACGUGAGAAUUUGCCUUUAGGAGGGGGACAACAAUUGGAAACGAAUGCUAAUACCCCAUAUGCUUUCGAGUGAAAUGGAUUUUAUCCGCCUAGAGAGAAGCUCGCGGCUGAUUAGCUUGUUGGUAAGGUAAGAGCUUACCAAGGCGACGAUCAGUAUCUGGUUUGAGAGGACGAUCAGACACACUGGAACUGAGACACGGUCCAGACUCCUACGGGAGGCAGCAGUGGGGAAUUUUCCGCAAUGGGCGAAAGCCUGACGGAGCAAUACCGCGUGAGGGAAGAAUGCCUAUGGGUUGUAAACCUCUUUUUCAGGGUAGGAAUAAAAUAGACGUGUACCUGAAGAAUAAGACACCGGCUAACUACGUG
This 443-nucleotide ribosomal RNA is filed under the name uncultured bacterium. RNAcentral's name for it is "bacterial SSU rRNA". It matches the Rfam family "Bacterial small subunit ribosomal RNA", at positions 28 to 507 of the family's 1533-position model. The record is from RNAcentral.